This 288-nucleotide long non-coding RNA is filed under the name Mytilus galloprovincialis (Mediterranean mussel). The record is from RNAcentral. Lineage: Eukaryota; Metazoa; Mollusca; Bivalvia; Mytilida; Mytilidae.
UUAUAACGACAUUUGCAUGUUUGUUUUUCAUUAUAUUUAAUGCUAACUUUGUAAAUGUAUGCAAAAUAUAUAUUGUAGUUGUUUAAAGUAUAAUUCAAAACUUUAAAGAAUCCGAGCGAAACAUACUUUCCCCACAUCUGUUACAGAAUACGUACAAAAGCACCACUAAUAGUUAUAAUGUUUAGGCUUAAAUAUCAGAACAACACGGUGAAUUGCACUGCAUUCAGCAAUAAGCUGGAACAUAUUUAGUUGUUCAAUGCGAAUAUAAGAAGAUCUUGAUAAGGCAGC